Molecule: microRNA precursor, 52 nt
Organism: Loxodonta africana (African savanna elephant)
Lineage: Eukaryota; Metazoa; Chordata; Mammalia; Proboscidea; Elephantidae
Rfam family: mir-1302 microRNA precursor family
Source: Rfam
UUUUUAGUAUAAGUAUGUCCUAUACAAUAUUUGGAACAUACUUAUCCUAAAA